This 343-nucleotide unclassified non-coding RNA is filed under the name soil metagenome. Its description in RNAcentral is "partial contains 5.8S ribosomal RNA, internal transcribed spacer 2, and large subunit ribosomal RNA". The stretch from base 1 to 120 matches the Rfam family "5.8S ribosomal RNA", at positions 35 to 154 of the family's 154-position model. The record is from RNAcentral.
GAUGAAGAACGCAGCGAAAUGCGAUACGUAGUGUGAAUUGCAGAAAUACGUGAGCCAUCGAAUCUUUGAACGCACAUUGCGCCCGCUAGUAUUCUGGCGGGCAUGCCUGUCCGAGCGUCAUUUCAACCCUCAAGCCCCCGGGCUUGGUGUUGGGGAUCGGCGAGCCUCCGCGCCCGCCGUCCCCUAAAUCUAGUGGCGGUCUCGCUGUAGCUUCCUCUGCGUAGUAGCACACCUCGCACUGGGAAACAGCGCGGCCACGCCGUUAAACCCCCAACUUCUGAACGUUUGACCUCGGAUCAGGCAGGAAUACCCGCUGAACUUAAGCAUAUCAAUAAGCGGAGGA